GUUGUGAACACAAAUGAUUACUGUGCAAAGACCUCAGAGAAUCAACCAGAGGGCUCAUCACAUCGAUGCUGAGUGCAACUGCUGAGGCUACUUAUUUCCACUUGGUGAAGCAGAACCCUGUUGCUACCCAUUUCACAUCUCAGGUAAAGUUAAUAAUGAUAUAGCAAAAUCUAUGAUAUUUGAAAUGGCAAAAUCUAUUGCUAUUGACCUCACUUUGAGCCCUAAAGUUCAUAUUUUCAAAUUAAGAGUGCCAAAAAAGAGAAAAUCUAGGAAAGCAAAAACACUCAAAUACCUGAGUUACAAUUCCUCUGUGUUACAAUUUCUUAGAUCAUCUCUCUUUUUCUCUCUCUCUCUCUGUCUCUCUUUUUCUCUCUCUUUCUGUCUGUCUGUCUGUCUGUCUGUCUGUCUGUCUGUCUGUCUGUCUGACUGACUCACUCACUCACUCACUCACUCACUCUGUUCAAAGUCUGUACCAAUUGGUUGCUUGUGUGGAGGUGUGGUCAGGCUCAUCAAAACAUUGUAUGUCUGUGCAUAUUUUACAAUACGCCUGUAAUUCUGCAUUCUGUAAUAAUGAGUGGUUAUGUUCAAAAGCCUAGCUGUAUGCUAAUGUUAUGCAUGUGUUAACUUAUACAUAGCCUACUCGUCGUAUGCUUCUCUUGUGAUGUCACAACAAGGAUAGCCUGGCACCAGCUUUGUUCCAGAGCAUGUCUCUAUUUUCACAAAGAUUUCAUCAGUGACCCUCAAUGAUUAACAAAUACACUGAAAUGGACAUUGUAGAUACCAAUAUUAUAAUUGUAAUUUAUCAUGAACUGACCUACCACUUUUUAUCCUCCUGGACCAGCUGUUCAAGCCUAUAUGGUACCUUUAUUUAACUAGGCAUGUCAGUUAAGAACAAAUUCUAAUUUUAAAUGACGACCUAGGAACAGUGGGUUAACUGUCUGUUCAGGGGCAGAAGGACAGAUUUGUACCUUGUCAACUCGGGGAUUUGAACUUGCAACCUUUCGGUUACUAAUCCAACGCUCUAACCACUAGGCUACCCUGCCUUCCCCUGCACCACUAAUAACAGGAUUCGAUGUUAUAUCGUUACACUCAACAAAUUGGCCUGGUGGAUCGGUGGUCAGUUAAACCAGCAUCUAUUGGUUAGUGAGAAGGGGAGGACACGGUGUGUGUUGUGUUGGAGAUAGGGAGCUUAGGGAUGGGCAUGGGGAUGUGCAGAGGCAAAGAAUUGUUGUUGCGCCCUCAAAGUUCACAUCACCUCAUCAUCUGCAUUAAUCUUAGCCUCUUGUCUCCUAUGUUUUUCUCAGCUUCUUCUAUGUCUACCCUAUGAAAAACAUGUACUAUGUACGGCUACCCCACUGUCCAAAAGUUCCUCUUUCUAGUUGUAAAGGGCUGACCGGUUGCCAGUUGAAGGCUGGGAAAAUGCCAACACCAGAUCAUUUGAGUGUACAUUUCAGGAUUUCAACAUUUCUUUCCAGCCUUCCCAGUCAUAUCAUACUGAAUACAGAAAGACAUUCGGUCUCUGGUUGUGUAAUCACUUUAUUUUCGCAACACUUUUGAAAUACAUUGUAUACUAAGUUUCAGUACCAUGUACCUGUCUAUUAGCAGAAGAUUUGGGCAAAAUAAUUUUUGAGAAUAUGACAUUUUUACCAAAAGCAGUAAUUAAGUGAAAUAUGUUUGUUUGGAAUGUGGUCCUUCAGUUUGACUAGUAACCUCCUUUUUUUUAGGUUCAGUAGUUCUUGGGGAGUCCUUGGGGUCUGAAUCGGUUGGGGUCCCGUCCAUUACGUCCCCAGCGGUUAGCCUGCUGGUCAGCUGCUGAGUCCUCAUGUCCUCGACCACUGGAACCCUGAACCAUCUCCCGGCCAUUACUGAGAGAGGAGAAAUAUUACAUUAGUAACUCGCCAACCACAGUAAACCAAUAAUGGUCAAAUUGUCUUUCUGACCAGACAGGGUUUUUUUUGUACAAAAAGUGGCAUAAAGAUCUAAUUAGAGAAAGGAGAAUGUUUUUAUGAGAUAAUUUGAUGACCAACUGAACCACAUUAUAAGCAUCACACAGAUAUUUGAGAAUCACCCACCUGAUGACUGUUGCUGCCCACCUGCCCCCUGGUCCUCUCCUGGCAGCAUCAUAGUUGCCCCGAGCAUGGAAGUACUUGUCUGAGUUUUUCCAGUUGGCGUCCUUCAUGUCGCCAUAUGCACGCCACAUGUCUUUAGCACCUGCAGGGUCAGGAGGACACAGAUGUUGAGUUUGACACUUUCAAUGAACUUUACAACUUUUCAAACCACUAGCCUCAAGAAAUAACAAUGAGUUUAAAGGAGUCCUCAAAUACAGUACAUGUCGCUCUUGAUAGAUUUGUUGCUACUGGUUUCUGUAUCUAUUUCUGUCAACAAUGAAGAAACAAUGAUUAAAGUGUAUAAACGGA
Molecule: long non-coding RNA, 2417 nt
Organism: Oncorhynchus nerka (sockeye salmon)
Lineage: Eukaryota; Metazoa; Chordata; Actinopteri; Salmoniformes; Salmonidae
Exons: 2
Source: RefSeq, a predicted model, not a curated record